RNAcentral lists this ribosomal RNA (465 nucleotides) under Vreelandella stevensii. RNAcentral's name for it is "partial 16S ribosomal RNA". It matches the Rfam family "Bacterial small subunit ribosomal RNA", at positions 338 to 795 of the family's 1533-position model. Lineage: Bacteria; Pseudomonadati; Pseudomonadota; Gammaproteobacteria; Oceanospirillales; Halomonadaceae. The record is from RNAcentral.
CCUACGGGCGGCUGCAGUGGGGAAUAUUGGACAAUGGGGGCAACCCUGAUCCAGCCAUGCCGCGUGUGUGAAGAAGGCCCUCGGGUUGUAAAGCACUUUCAGUGAGGAAGAACGCCUGGUGGUUAAUACCCAUCAGGAAAGACAUCACUCACAGAAGAAGCACCGGCUAACUCCGUGCCAGCAGCCGCGGUAAUACGGAGGGUGCGAGCGUUAAUCGGAAUUACUGGGCGUAAAGCGCGCGUAGGUGGCUUGAUAAGCCGGUUGUGAAAGCCCCGGGCUCAACCUGGGAACGGCAUCCGGAACUGUCAAGCUAGAGUGCAGGAGAGGAAGGUAGAAUUCCCGGUGUAGCGGUGAAAUGCGUAGAGAUCGGGAGGAAUACCAGUGGCGAAGGCGGCCUUCUGGACUGACACUGACACUGAGGUGCGAAAGCGUGGGUAGCAAACAGGAUUAGAUGCCCCGGUAGUC